RNAcentral lists this ribosomal RNA (253 nucleotides) under uncultured bacterium. RNAcentral describes it as "partial 16S ribosomal RNA". It matches the Rfam family "Bacterial small subunit ribosomal RNA", at positions 524 to 776 of the family's 1533-position model. The record is from RNAcentral.
UACAGAGGGUGCAAGCGUUGUUCGGAAUCAUUGGGCGUAAAGCGUGCGUAGGCGGUCCGCGAAGUCUGAUGUGAAAGCCCCGGGCUCAACCUGGGAACUGCAUUGGAAACUAACGGGCUCGAGUGUGGCAGAGGGGGGUGGAAUUCCACGUGUAGCAGUGAAAUGCGUAGAGAUGUGGAGGAACACCGAUGGCGAAGGCAGCCCCCUGGGCUAACACUGACGCUCAGGCACGAAAGCGUGGGGAGCAAACAGG